GACGAACGCUGGCGGCGUGCCUAAUACAUGCAAGUAGAACGCUGAAGAGAGGAGCUUGCUCUUCUUGGAUGAGUUGCGCACGGGUGAGUAACGCGUAGGUAACCUGCCUUGUAGCGGGGGAUAACUAUUGGAAACGAUAGCUAAUACCGCAUAACAAUGGAUGACACAUGUCAUUUAUUUGAAAGGGGCAAUUGCUCCACUACAAGAUGGACCUGCGUUGUAUUAGCUAGUAGGUGAGGUAAUGGCUCACCUAGGCGACGAUACAUAGCCGACCUGAGAGGGUGAUCGGCCACACUGGGAAUGAGACACGGCCCAGACUCCUACGGGAGGCAGCAGUAGGGAAUCUUCGGAAAUGGGGGCAACCCUGACCGAGCAACGCCGCGUGAGUGAAGAAGGUUUUCGGAUCGUAAAGUUCUGUUGUAAGUCAAGAACGGGUGUGAGAGUGGAAAGUUCACACUGUGACGGUAGCUUACCAGAAAGGGACGGCUAACUACGUG
This 497-nucleotide ribosomal RNA is filed under the name uncultured bacterium. RNAcentral's name for it is "partial 16S ribosomal RNA". It matches the Rfam family "Bacterial small subunit ribosomal RNA", at positions 28 to 507 of the family's 1533-position model. The record is from RNAcentral.